GACGAACGCUGGCGGCGUGCUUAACACAUGCAAGUCGAACGGAAAGGCCCUGCUUGCAGGGUACUCGAGUGGCGAACGGGUGAGUAACACGUGGGUGAUCUGCCCUGAACUUCGGGAUAAGCCUGGGAAACUGGGUCUAAUACCGGAUAGGAGCCAUUUUUAGUGUGAUGGUUGGAAAGUUUUUUCGGUGUAGGAUGAGCUCGCGGCCUAUCAGCUUGUUGGUGGGGUAUUGGCCUACCAAGGCGGCGACGGGUAGCCGGCCUGAGAGGGUGGACGGCCACAUUGGGACUGAGAUACGGCCCAGACUCCUACGGGAAGCAGCAGUGGGGAAUAUUGCACAAUGGGCGCAAGCCUGAUGCAGCGACGCCGCGUGGGGGAUGACGGCCUUCGGGUUGUAAACUCCUUUCGCUAGGGACGAAGCUUUUUGUGACGGUACCUAGAUAAGAAGCACCGGCUAACUACGUG
Molecule: ribosomal RNA, 465 nt
Filed under: uncultured bacterium
Lineage: Bacteria
Description: partial 16S ribosomal RNA
Rfam family: Bacterial small subunit ribosomal RNA
Source: RNAcentral